GGAGGGUUGACCCACCCUCCAUCCAUUGAGAGCUUCGAAAGCGCAAUGGGUGAGUCUCUUUGGCAAGAUCUUCACAGUUUCCAAGCAGCUCUUCAUGACAUGAUCCGGAGUCUGGUUGAACGGUCUGGAGGGUUUCUGAUCCUGUUCAAGUGCACACAGAACUAGCAGGUUCACCAGAAAAGCUAUUGAGCAUUUGCUGGAACACAUUAUGCAGGAUAUAUCUGAAAAACCUCUUCCCAGUGAACACUUAAAUUAGCAGAGGAGGCUCUUCACAGUUUAGAUAAGAUUGAAUAAAGACAACGGAUGCUCAAGCCAUUACUAUGGAGAUUCAACAACCAAGCGUGAACAGGGCCUGAACAACAGCAUCUAUGACAGAGAACAUUUCGGAAGAAAUCCCUUCAUUUUGUCCACAUGUCUACUUCGAAGCUGUGGGAGUCGGAGAGGAGAAGAAGGAGGAGUUGAUGGCUAUAUUGUUUCGUACAGUGUUACAUUGUACAACAGUGGAGGGGGCAAGGAGAGGAAACUGACCGUAACCUGGAAGAGCAGAGAUGAAGGAAAAGAGCUGCUUAGGGCACGGCGCAUGUCAGGAGUAGAUAGAGUUGCUAUGAGGAAGUUUGUUCUAGUCCUUUUAAGGUUUUAGAAAAUAUUUCUACUUUGAUUUCACAGAAUUUUAUUACUGAGAGGGAUUUUAGAACUUAUUUGCCACAACUUUUUUCACUUUUUUUUAGUCAGGUAGACAGUUGAGACCCAGAAGGGUCAGCAGUUCCUCCAACUUCACAAGUUGAGUGUAACCAAGUCGCGAUUGGGUCUUUUGAUUCCCUUUCUGAUUCAGCAGUAGCUCAUUGUGGGAUCUUGAGCCUGAUACAUUGCUGGUACUCUGCAAAUAUUUGAUGAAGGAAAGAAUGAAUUCCUGAAUGACUCUGUCUCCCAUACCUUUCGAUCGUGGACCAUUUUUGUACCCCCAGAUAAAGUCAAAAGAGAUCGUCGUGUGCUUUGCAGUUGGGCACAGAGAUGGAGAAAGCAAAGUUUCUAGUUCUGGAACAGAGACAUCAGAAGAAUGACCCCACUUCUUUUUAAAUUUUCUCUUUGCCAAGGGGGGAAUCAUUCAGCAGAGAUGUGUCUGCUGGGAGGGCCAGGUUCUGAAGUCAGCCACGAGAAGAAAAUCACAGAUAAUCAAAACUUCCCUUGAAGUUUUCUUAGGGAGGUACCAUGCCAAAGCCUGGUGGACUAUUUCUCAGCCAGUUUUCCCUCCAUCAUUGGAGCAGACAGCUGUUUUCUUGUUUGAGUACCAGUGAAGCAGUUAGCUUACAUUUUGAGGUCAUGUAUAUGAAAAAUGUGUAUUUUAAGCAGAAGACUACACAGGGAAGGUCCGUAGGCAUGGAGACAAACCUAGGGCAGAACAGAUUUGUUGGUCCUGUCUCAUGUUCACUCUGGGGCACCUGCUUUUUAAGACCAAUACCCAUUCCCUCUCUCUCUCUCUCUCUCUCUCUCUCGUAUAUAAUCCAACUUACAAAAGUUUAAUGUAUGUUAGAUUUCACUCCACUGUUCUACCUAGUACAUUGGGAAAGCUGAACUAAAUACUGACCCAGUAUCUAGAAUCAAAAUCUACAUUAAAGGUAUUUAUUUUAUCUUGUGGAACUUCUUAGAUAAAGAUGAGAGGUCUAAACUCUAUAAUUAGAUAAUUUUAUUGGCAGUGAUAUGAAUUAUUAUUAUUUUGCUGUGGAGGCUUAAAAAAGAGGAAGUUUUGGUAUAGAUAUGCCUGGGAAAAGGAGAAUAUAUUAUGUGAUGACUGAAUUUAGAGAAAUUUAAAUGCAAAAGGCAAUCAGCCUCUGACACUCUUGCCCUCUUUUCCCGUCUCUGAAAAAACAAAAACAAAAUCCCUGGUUUACUCAGAGUCCCUCUUUUAAGACUUGAUUCAGACAUCCAAGCCUUCUAUCCUCAAUAGGCUGUUUGUUGCUUUUCCUGCAUCUCUCUCCCUCUUUCUUCCCUUUCUUCCUACCCAUCUCCACUCCCAAUUCUCCAUUCCCAUUCUUUCUUAUGCUGCAGCUUCACUGUGGACACAGACCACAGCGUCAGGGAGGCUUUUUUAAGAAUUUCUUAAACUUACUAAAAAGUAAUAAACUCUUGCAGACAUUACGAAGGAGGACUUUGGACAGAGAUACCUAGCUGAUUUCCUGGAACAAUAGCUGGGGAAUUAUUUUUCGGCUCCAAGAGGAUAAUAUUUUAAGUUGCUAUAUGUUUGCUGAUCCUGGGGAGAGGGUUGGAACAAUCGAGCAUGCACGGGAAGCUUGGGCUCUUGGCCCAGUCGGCUCAGAGUCUAAAUAUUUGGAGGAUGAAUACUUGAAAAUGCAUUUAAACAUUUAAAACAUUUUAUUUGUUUUUCCAGGAAGUCGCAUUGUUAAUGCGAUACAAUUCUGCAGCAGGACUCUGUCUGCGGGAGGUGUGAACCUCCUGGACAAGCCCAGGCUCAGGCUCUACCUUAGGCCUUGGUGUGAAGCCAGAGAUGUGCAUGUCUAUUGGCUAAUGUCCACGCCUGUGAAGUGGGUUAUUAUUACAAUCGCUCACCUUCAAUGCCUGUGUUCUAAAGUCAUCCUAAGGGUCUGACCCAACUCUGCACUGAAACCAAGAAUGCAACUUCACACACACACACACACACACACACACACACACACCAUUUUCCAAAUCAAAUGCUGCAAUGUUUAUCUUCUUUUGUCAGUGCUGCCGCUUUAUUAUUAUUGCCAGCUUCCAAGUCUACACAGAUGGUCACCUGUGGUCAGUUUUCCUCUCCUGCCUAUGAGGCAACAUACCUUUGGGCUGGUAUAUGCUUAGAGAAUUCAAACUAAUAUGAAUGCAUUAGAUUAUGUAAAACGUAAUUAGGAAAGCAAAUUUGUUGUAAAAGCAGCCUAUGUGUUUAUAUAACUUACAAUCAAUUAGAAGCAACUGGGGGAUUUUCAAUGUUCUUUAGACACACAGAUAUAUUCCAGGACCUCAGUUAUGUCAACUAUUUGCCUAUCUCAAUCAAAUGAUCUAGAUAAUUGCCAAAUAUCUACUUUGCUAUGCUAUCAAGUCCCAAACUCUCAUUGUCUCGGUGGAAUGGAAGUGAGAAUCACCUUCACUUCUAAAAUUUGAAGUAGAAAGCGCUGGGGAGGGCUGAGGUAGAAAGAAGCAUGGGUGUGCACCCGACCUGGUAAUUGCCAUGGUAAGGUGUCUUAGACAACAUGAUAAUAACUCUCUCGAUAGAACUGGGGAUGCGGUAGCAACAGUAAAAAUUAUAUUAAACUGGGCCCGAUGCCCAGACUAUCAGCCUCAGAUAAACAAACUAUAAGAGAAGCAUUUCAAGAGGAGCUAACUUGUGAAUCAAGGAAGCUAAAACAGGCCAGAGAGGUGCUCGCUUGAGGAGACAAUGCUUUCACCUCCUUGGAAAAGCUGUGCCCAACCUAAUUAAAAUGCCCAAUCUAAUUAAAAAUCUAACCAUAAUCUCCCCGGUGGCCCUUCACUCCACCCCUUUCCAUUGUUAAGAUGCUAAUAGGGUCGCUUAGCUGAAAAAUUAUUAAACCAGAGACUAUUUGAGCACACACGCGUAAUCCCCAGCCUAGUGAAUUGGAGCGAAGAUGCUAGUGAUUUGUACAGCGAUGGUGGUGUCAUACAUCAGCAAUGAUGUAUGACAUGGAUUAGUGCAGAGCAGCCAUCUGCUGUUGAGGAGGGUGAUAGAAUCUGUUCCACAGCGGCAGAUGACUCCCCAGUGCUGGCCAGCUGGCUCAGAGUGGACGAAGUUGGGCAGGGUAAGUGAUGCCCCAGCGACCCUCUGGGGAAAUAACUCCAGGACCUCUCCCUUAGGUGCCUAUAUUUGUCCCUGCUGGCUUCAUGCAUACACAUAUGUCAUAGAGCUGACAUGAUGCAAUACACUUUAGAACAUGGAGAAGAAGGAAGAAGCACGUACCCACCAUAAAGUUUAAAAGUUGCUGGUCUUGAGCAUGAGAUGUGCCCUUGAGUCUCACGGUAGCCUGGACAAAAAGAGGAAACCUGAUAAAUCAUAUAGCUCACAUUAUCUGGGAAAAGAAGCAAGUCAGUUUCUUAGAAGAGAUAAAGUUUUUUCUUACUUUUUCACGUUUAACUUGAUAAAGAGGAGAAAUUGAAUUUCUCAGGGUGUAUAUUAGAAACUGUCAAACUGCUAGACUGCUUGGCCUAUUUACAGGGAAAGGACGAGAGCAUGGAUUCCCCAGUGACUAAUGAGAAAUAGGUAGCACUCAGCAGUUCCCUAAUAGGAUUGUGAUGUUUACCUUUUUCUCUUUGCAUAUCUGUAUUUUCUAAAAUUUCCACCAUCUGGGACUUCCCUGGUGGCACAGUGGUUGAGAAUCUGCCUGCCGAUGCAGGGGACACGGGUCCGAGCCCUGGUCCGGGAAGAUCCCACAUGCCGUGGAGCAACUAAGCCUGCGAGCCACAACUACUGAGCCUGCGCUCUAGAGCCCACGAGCCACAACUACUGAGACCAUGUGCCACAACUACUGAAGCCCACAUGCCUAGAGCCCAUGCUCCCCAACAAGAGAAGCCACUGCAGUGAGAAGCCUGUGCACCGCAACAAAGAUGCAACGCAGCCAAAAAUUAAAAAAACAGAAACAAAUAAAAUAAAAUUUCCACCAUAAACGUGCAUGACACUGUCAUAUAAAUGUGCUGGUUCUGGGUCUGCUUGACCUGAGGUCCAUUCCUCACUCUUCCUUCCCUGGCUGUGUAUUCAGGGGGCCUGACCCCUCCAGGCCAAUGUUCUCAGACCCCAUGUCAGCCGGCUCCCAACUGGGUUUGGCCCAUGGAGGCUCUAGUGGGAGUUUGGAGAACAGGAGGGAGGUUGAAGUUAGGGUAUUUCUCCCUCUCUCUCAGUCCUAGGUGGUAUCUCUGGCAGCUGCUGCCUCUCUUCCUUGGUUCCAUCUCUCACAGGAAACCUGCCAUAGUUCCUGCUUCCUCUGGGUAAUCCCAGGCCCAGGGCUCGGGUAGCAUCACCUCCUCCCUUUGUCCCUCCAGCCUGGGAGUGGUGGCGACUUCCUGCUGUGGCUAGACUCUGGAUUGCCUCACCAUCCCUUGUUUGGCUUUUAAGUUUCUUUCAUCUCAUUGCACUAAACUUCCUCUGUUCUAAAUAUUCAGAGUGGUUUCUGUCUUCCUGGUUGGGCCCUGACACAAAGAAACAAAAAUGUAUUUGAAACAAAAAUGAACGGGGCAAAAGAAUUUAGAGGAACUUGAGCUGGAGAAGUAACUGAAGAAGCAAAAGCCGAUAGAUCAUGGCAGCACACACAAAGCAAAGUCUGGGCUUGGUGCACACCAGCUGGAAAGGACUUCCGGUCACGUACGGGCCUUUUUAGGCACAUUUACGCACACGAAUUACAAUUUUACUUAGAGUUGUCAGCUCCAGAAGUGAAGGAUAACAAUAUGUCAGUUACAGAGAAAAAACAAACAACCCCCCUCUCAACCCCCAUAAGAUUUGGAGUCCUACGUCGUUCAAGUCCCAUAGAAUUCAAUUCCUGGCUUGUGGUGGAUACUGUGGUUGACUCUGCAGCCUCCAUUCCACCCCUCCCACAUGGCAUAGCAGCUGUGGGGUUUGGAGGGGACUGAUCCAACCUCUAGCUUCUGGGUUGUGGUCUUGGUUGACAUGGUCACUGGAUCAUGUACCCCAGGCCUCAGCCAAUCAGUACCUGGUAUUCCCCUGGCCACUGGUGCAACAAAAUGAAGCCGGGGUCUCAUGUUUGAUGAUUGGAGAAAGAAAAGUUCUUUCUCCUUCUAGAUAGUGUGGUGGGCCCUGAAACUGCUCCAGCAUUUUGCUGCUAAAUGGAAAAAGAGACUCAGAAUAGAGCUGACACAAAAAGAAGGGUAAAUCCAACACAAUCAAAAUAAAACAGCUGGAUUUCUGAUCAAACUGUGCCUGAAGCCCACCGCACUACUGAACUUUUUCUGUUCUAGAGUUUCUCUAUUCUAUUUACUGUUUAGUACAUUUUGAUUUGGAUUUUAUGUUACUUGCAACCAAAAACAUGCUAGAUGAGACAUAGAAAUAUUGUCUUAUUGACUGUGUGGCCUUGGGCCAGUCACUGAAUCUUUCUGACCUUCAGUUUCCUCAUCUAUAAAAUGGAACUAUAAGAUGAUUUAUCUUAAGGAAUUUUUGUGAGGAUCAAAUGAGGUAAUAAAUGAGAAGGUGCUUUGUAAAUUGUAAGCAGUUAUUUGAAUCUUCUUAUCACACGUAUAAUUUACUUCAAUUGUUAGUGCAGUUUUAGAUCUCUCCUACAUAUAAAUAAUUAAUUUUAUCAAGCAUAAUUUCUGUAAUAAUUACUUCAUUGCUGUAUUGUGAGCGUUCAUCAGAAUUAAUCGGUAAUAGCCAUAUUUCACUCUGUGUAGCCCUAAAUAAUUUACUUUUGAAAUCCCGGUUGAUCUAUGUAAUCUUGAAAGGAUUUACCUCAAAACUCUCAGCCAAGUGGACAUGAGUUGAGUUAACUCCUCUGCGUGACCACGCAUCACUCACUUGUAAAACGUGUGGUUUUCAUUGCCAUCUGGAGCAACCCGUGAAAAGUGGGUGUGCAGCAUUCCUCUCACAGUGUGAAAGUUUGGGCACAUCCAAAAAGGUCCAGCUGGUCAGCUCUGCCCUUGCAUUUUCUUGGAGUUGCUGCCCUGAGGCUGUUUGGUAACCUGAGAGAGCGGUUUACACAGGAAUCUUUGAAAGGGCUGCAAAACCAGGAGCGCCCAGGGGAACAACACAUAGUGUUUAGGUUUUUGUAAUAACAAAAUAUUAAGGGUAAUUAAUUUAUCAAACCUAAUUAGAUAAGGUGUCUAACAUUUAGGGCAAUGAAAAUAAAAGUACACAAGAAGUAUGCUUUAUGUUUUUCUUCCAAUAAUUGGCAUAUCUUAGGACAGGACCUGGGAUGACCUUGCUGACUAUGGUGGGUCAGGGCAGACAAAGAAUGACUGGGACUAAGAACUUGACCCUCCCAUGGGGCUGGGACAAGCCCAGAGGACAAGACCUGCAAGUUCAGCCCUGAUUUUUCUCACCAAGCACUGUUGAUUCUACCUCCCAACCAGACUUCCCAUCUCCCCCUUCUCUGUCUGCCUUGCCACUGAGUUGGGUCAGGUCCUCAUUACAUGUCUCCUGGGCUAGUCUCUCUGCUCCCAGCCUCAACCCAUCUCUAUUCAUCCUCCACCCUGCUAUAGGAAUCAUCUUUUAAAAUUACACUAUGCUGCCCCGCCCCCUUCCUCCCUUAAAACUUUUCACUGGCUCCCUAUGGCUGAUCCUAUAAAGCCCAAAGCCCUUAGCAUGGCAAGACCUUGUGGGAUCUGACUUCUCUUAACAACCAAUCCAGUUUCUCUCCCACCUCCCUUUCCCCCACCCCGCUCCUCAAGUUCCUUCCAAAUCAAAUCAGAGUCCUGGGACAUAGCUCUUCAAGGCCAGUGGUUAUCACAGUUUGACCGUCAUAAAAAUUACUUGGGUUUGUUUAAAAUACAACUUCCUGAGCUGCAUCCUCACAAGAUUAUGAUCCAAAGGGCCGCAUCUGGGAAUCUGAAAUUUCACAAGAACCUUGGCAAAGUCAGGUGCAGGUGGUCCUCAGACUGUCUCUGGAGAAACACUGUAUGAUAACACUUAUCACAUUGUAGUCCACGUCUUUUCACAUCUGUCUCCAACUGAAAGCAAACAAAGAAAGAAAGUCAGAUUUCCAAAUUACACCCCAGAGUCACCGAAUGAGACUUUGGAUGUGUGGAGGGGAUUUCAGAGCUCUUUAUACCAAAAGUUAUGAAAUUUUAUCAUCAUGGAUCCAUGCAUGAGAUUUCCUCCCCCCCUUAUUCACCCUGGUUGUUACCCAGUGGGAUAUUUCUAUUUAAAGAAUAACAUUUUUUCAGCUUAGAAAAAAUAUCUUCUACUAUCAUUUCUUUGCUUAUCUCUUCACCUCCGUCUCUCUGGUCUCUGUCUGUCACUUCUAUUAGGUGGAUAUUGGAAUUUCUGGGUCUAAUUUCUGAUGUCUCCAACUUUUUCGUAUUUUCAUUUAUUUUUCCUUUAGUAUGGUGUUCUGGAACAAUUUCCCAGCAUACUUUGCUGCCUAAGUGCUGUACUCUGAUGUGUUCUUUCUGUUAUUCAGCACAUCUAUUGAGAUUUUCAUUUUUAUUUUGAUUAUUGUAUUAUUCAUUUCUAAGAUCUAUAAAUGCUUAUUGGCACAACAGCCUUUUCUUGCUUAGGAAAUGUCAUAGCAUCCUUAAUUCUCUAGACUAUUCCAUGUACAGUACUUCUUUCAAAGUUUUUUUCUGUUUAUUUUAUUUACUCUGUUUCUUUGGAUGUUGGUUCUUAGAUUUGUUUAGUUUGCUUUUCCUUUCAUGAUGUUGAUUUUCCUUACAUAUUUGGUGAUUCUGGAUUGUGCACUCAUCUCCGUAUUUGAUAAUCUUUGUUUUUUCUAGGUCAGGGCCCACACACCAUGGCCCAUGGGCCAAAUUUGCCUGCUGCCUAUUUUGAAAAUACAGUUCUUUUGGAACAUAGACACACUCAUUCAUUUAUGAAUAAUCAAUGGCUUCUUUUGUGCCACGAUGGCAGCAUUGAGUAGCCCUCAAAGACUAGAAUAUUGAUUAUCAGACCCCUUACAGAAAAACUCUGCUGGAUCUGGCCAUCACUUUAUAGGAACUACAGCUCAGAGAGAAACAUAGUAAGCAAUGGUUGGUUGAUUGAUCCAUCAACUAAAGCAGAAUGUGAGUUAUUCUAUAAGACAAAAGACAGUUUUUUCACAGAUAAGUGGCGUAAAAAUGAAAAAAAAAAAGAAGAAAUUCAUGUGGAUUAAAAGAUAUUUAACAGAAAUAUCAACCAAAAGCAAUGUGUAACCCUUGCUUGGCUCCUAAUUUAAACAGGAUCCGAAUUUAAAUUUUACUUUUUUAUAAAGUAAAAUUUUGAAACAAUGGGAGAAAAUCAAAUAUGAUCCAGUGUUUCUGAAUUUUACUGAUGCGAGACAAAUCACCCUACCACUUGGUGGCAUGAAACCACCACAGUGUUUUCAUGGUCACAGGGUCUGUGGGUCAGGGCAUAGUGGAGAUGUCUGGAGUCUCAGCUGGGAAGACUUGAAAGGCCAGGCUCAGCUGGGAAUGUUGAUUGGACACCUACCUGUGGCCCCUCAGGUGGCUGGAUUCUGAGAGGGACCAUCUUGAGAUGGAGCUCUGGAGAGUAAGCGCUGUAAGAGGACCAGGCGGAAGCGAGGAGACUGCCCUUUCUAACCUUGCCUUCAGAGUCAGGCGGCUUCUCACGCCUAUCCUUCCAGUGAAUGGCGAAGGCCAGUGCCGAGUCAAGAGGAGGGGAUGGAGACGUCUCCUCUUGUUGGCAAAGUCACCUGAAAGCAUUUUUGGAAAAUGCAAUUUGCCACAACCGGCUAUUAGAUGAUGUUAAUAAAAAAUUAUUGUCAUUGUUUCCUUGUAGUGUUUUCAUGGAUUUGUUUUUUAAAAAGUCCUUUAUGUGUUAGAGAGUCACACUGAGUAUUUAUGAGUGAAAUGAUAUGAUAUUUGGUAUUUGCUUUAAAAUACUCCAGGAAAAAAAUAAUAAAGGUAGCAGUGGUAGUGGCAUAGAGAAAACGAGAAUGACAGAAUGCUAGUUGUUGUUGAAGCUGGGUAGUGUAUACUGGUUGUUUGUAAUGUUCUCUUUAAUUUGUAUGUGUUUGAAAAGUUCUUAUAUUAAAAACAAAAAAGAAAAGAAAAAGUCUUGUUGCCUGUUUAUGAAUGCUCUUUCCACCUCCAGCAGUUGUGGGUGAGUCAGAGCCUCGGUGCUCAGGGGGGGAGCAUUGGUCACUCAUCUGCCAACUUUAGGGGCUCCCUGUUCUUUCUGGGUGUUACCGAUGCCGUGAGGCAUUUCCCUCCCUCUUCCUGCUAAGGGCUUAUGCUCGCUGUUCUAGCCUGAGGCAAACACAUUACCAUCUACUUCUUGGCACUAUUUGGUGGAGGAGAGGGACCUCCCAGAUUGACGACCAGGAUUAGGUUAUUAUAAUCCCCCAUGACUGCCCCACUUCUCCCUCCUUUUCCUCCUAUCUGUUCCCUCUGUGUUUGGAGUGCACCAGGGGCCACUUCUACACGUGCACCAGUCUCCCAGGAACAUGACUUUUGGUGUAAUUUGCUUUGUCAAUUUGGUCUUCUCUGCUUUCUCUAUUUCAAGGAUUACUUAAAAUUUCUGAUCUGAUGAUAGCAUGUUUUUUUGUAGUGUUAUUAUGGAUCUGACAUUACCUCCUCCCAAUGCCAACCCUCCCCCAGCAACAAAUAUCUCACUUUUCUGUCAUUUUUAGAGAUGUUGAUUGGAAUGGAAAACUAUUCAUAAGCAAUCAGUUGGCCAUUUUGAUUCCAUACCUCCAAGUUUUUUUUUUUGUUUGUUUGUUUUGUUUUGUUUUUUUGCGGUACGCGGGCCUCUCACUGUUGUGGCCUCUCCCGUUGCGGAGCACAGGCUCCGGACGCGCAGGCUCAGCAGCCAUGGCUCACGGGCCCAGCCGCUCCACGGCAUGUGGGAUCCUCCCGGACCGGGGCAUGAACCCGUGUCCCCUGCAUCGGCAGGCGGACUCUCAACCGCUGUGCCACCGGGGAAGCCCCCCUGAUGGGCCUUUUAAUUUGAAGACUUGUGACUGUCUUCAGCUCUGGGAAUUUUCAACUCUUUUUCAAAAAAUUUCCAGUUUUGCUAUCAUAUGCCUUUAUUUAUUCUGUUUAGGACUUUGUUGGCUGUCCUUUUGUGACUACAGUGGAAUAUCUAUUAGGAUUUUUCACUCUACGCUCUGUAUCUCACCUUCUCUUUUCCAUCUUCAACCUUUUGCUUCUCCAUGCUACACUCUGGACAUUUUAUUCUUAAAUAUCUUUUGGUUCACUAAUUCUUU
This is a long non-coding RNA of Orcinus orca (killer whale), 10844 nucleotides long. RefSeq lists it as uncharacterized. The transcript is spliced from 6 exons. NCBI's taxonomy places the organism in Eukaryota, Metazoa, Chordata, Mammalia, Artiodactyla, Delphinidae. The record is from RefSeq and is a predicted model, not a curated record.